UAAACGUGCAGACCUCCGCUACCCCG
Molecule: non-coding RNA, 26 nt
Filed under: Rattus norvegicus (Norway rat)
Lineage: Eukaryota; Metazoa; Chordata; Mammalia; Rodentia; Muridae
Source: RNAcentral